UUGGAGGGCAAGUCUGGUGCCAGCAGCCGCGGUAAUUCCAGCUCCAAUAGCGUAUAUUAAAGUUGUUGCAGUUAAAAAGCUCGUAGUUGAAUUUCGGGACCAUCAUGUCGGUCGUGCCUCGGUACGUACUGGCAUUGUUGGUUUCUCCCUUCUGACGAACCAUGAUGUCAUUUAUUUGGUGUUGUGGGGAAUCAGGACUGUUACUUUGAAAAAAUUAGAGUGUUUAAAGCAGGCUCACGCUUGAAUACAUUAGCAUGGAAUAAUGAAAUAGGACGUUUGAUUCUAUUUUGUUGGUUUCUAGGAUCGACGUAAUGAUUAAUAGGGAUAGUUGGGGGCAUUAGUAUUCAAUUGUCAGAGGUGAAAUUCUUGGAUUUAUUGAAGACUAACUACUGCGAAGGCAUUUGCCAAGGAUGUUUUCAUUAAUCAAGAACGAAAGUUAGGGGAUCGAAGACGAUCAGAUACCGUCGUAGUCUUAACCAUAAACUAUGCCGACUAGGGAUCGGAUGAUGUUAAUCUUUUAAUGAUUCAUUCGGCGCCUUACGGGAAAC
This 548-nucleotide ribosomal RNA is filed under the name uncultured Glomus. RNAcentral describes it as "SSU rRNA". It matches the Rfam family "Eukaryotic small subunit ribosomal RNA", at positions 548 to 1098 of the family's 1831-position model. The record is from RNAcentral. Lineage: Eukaryota; Fungi; Glomeromycota; Glomeromycetes; Glomerales; Glomeraceae.